GUGUUAAGUUGUACACUUAGCUACGACCUCAAUAUAAGUGAUUAUCGUAGGCGUUGGAUACUGGCUCCUUCGUUGAAUUUGAUUUUUUCUGGCAUGACGGAUACAUCUCCUAAGUACUGUCACUUGGAUUUUUUUUCUUUCCCCAAAAGAUAAUGCCGAAGUAUAUCCAUCUGGUUGCGAUUUGGUUGUUCAUCCUUGCCUUCCAACUUUUCCAGAAGCCAAUUACGUCCACGCACAUGUGCCGCUAUAAAAGAUACAAAGAGGUAAUUUCGG
RNAcentral lists this unclassified non-coding RNA (273 nucleotides) under Pocillopora damicornis (cauliflower coral). RNAcentral describes it as "norrin-like, transcript variant X1". Lineage: Eukaryota; Metazoa; Cnidaria; Anthozoa; Scleractinia; Pocilloporidae. The record is from RNAcentral.